Megaselia scalaris is the source of this 46-nucleotide non-coding RNA. The record is from Rfam. NCBI's taxonomy places the organism in Eukaryota, Metazoa, Arthropoda, Insecta, Diptera, Phoridae.
AAAACGGUCCUUUUCAGGACCACCAAUUUUAUUUAGAAAGAGUUUU